AGGAAUUUCUUUAAAAUCUUUUCUUUAAAACUGUGCACCAUGAUCGAUUGGAUCUUCAGUAAACAUAAGCAGCGUAUUUUUUUUUUUUUUUUUUUUGGUCUCUCCUGCUGCUGCUGCUGCUGCUGCCAAGUCACUUCAGUUGUGUCCGACUCUGUGCAACCCCAUAGAUGGCAGCCCACCAGGCUCCUCUGUCCCUGGGAUUCUCCAGGCAAGAACGCUAGAGUGGGUUGCCAUUUCCUUCUCCAACGCAUGAAAGUGAAAAGUGAAAGUGAAGUCAGUCAGUUGUGUCUGACCCUCAGCUACCCCAUGGACUGCAUUCUACCAGGCUCCUCCAUCCCUGGGAUUUUCCAGGCAAUUGGAAAAUCGGUUGCCAAGAGGUUGCCAUUGCCUUCUCCAUUGUCUCUCCUAGUCUGGGCAAAUGAGGUAUUUCUGUCUUCAGCUCUGAGAAGCAAAGGAAUGGAAGGCUGUGACUGUGAACACUUUGACCUUGGCGCUGUCUCAUGACAAAGUGGUUUUGACUGGGCAACUUGGACAAUAUUAAAGAUAAAAGCCUGUGUAUUCUGCUUUUCCUGAUAUCAACCAGCAAAGGCAGCACCAGGGUUCACAUCACUCCAGACUGUCAAUUUCAAAGGCU
This 634-nucleotide long non-coding RNA is filed under the name Capra hircus (goat). RNAcentral's name for it is "lncRNA (ENSCHIG00000007127.1)". The record is from RNAcentral. Lineage: Eukaryota; Metazoa; Chordata; Mammalia; Artiodactyla; Bovidae.